AGCGAACGCUGGCGGCAGGCCUAACACAUGCAAGUCGAACGGAUCCUUCGGGAUUAGUGGCGGACGGGUGAGUAACACGUGGGAACGUGCCCUUUGGUUCGGAACAACUCAGGGAAACUUGAGCUAAUACCGGAUGUGCCCUUCGGGGGAAAGAUUUAUCGCCAUUGGAGCGGCCCGCGUCUGAUUAGCUAGUUGGUGAGGUAAAGGCUCACCAAGGCGACGAUCAGUAGCUGGUCUGAGAGGAUGAUCAGCCACAUUGGGACUGAGACACGGCCAUAACUCCUACGGGAUGCAGCAGUGGGUAAUCUUGCGCAAUGGGAGAAAGCCUGACGCAGCCAUGCCGCGUGAAUGAUGAAGGUCUUAGGAUUGUAAAAUUCUUUCACCGGGGACGAUAAUGACGGUACCCGGAGAAGAAGCCCCGGCUAACUUCGUGCCAGCCGCCGCCGUAA
This 449-nucleotide ribosomal RNA is filed under the name uncultured bacterium. RNAcentral's name for it is "partial 16S ribosomal RNA". It matches the Rfam family "Bacterial small subunit ribosomal RNA", at positions 29 to 523 of the family's 1533-position model. The record is from RNAcentral.